GUCUCUUCGGAGACAUCUGAUAAAAUUGGAAUGAUACAGAGAAGAUUAGCAUGGCCCCUGCGCAAGGAUGACACUCACAAAUAGAUAAAUGGUCCAAAUUUUU
This 103-nucleotide small nuclear RNA is filed under the name Spinacia oleracea (spinach). The record is from RNAcentral. Lineage: Eukaryota; Viridiplantae; Streptophyta; Magnoliopsida; Caryophyllales; Amaranthaceae.